AAACUUUCAACAACGGAUCUCUUGGUUCUCGCAUCGAUGAAGAACGCAGCGAAAUGCGAUAAGUAAUGUGAAUUGCAGGAAUCGUGAAAUGUAUGAGCGUCAUUACAAUCUCAAAUAAAAAAUUUUAUUUGGUAGUGAGUUUUAUAGUUUAAAACU
Molecule: ribosomal RNA, 156 nt
Filed under: Macrorhabdus ornithogaster
Lineage: Eukaryota; Fungi; Ascomycota; Saccharomycetes; Saccharomycetales
Description: 5.8S ribosomal RNA
Rfam family: 5.8S ribosomal RNA
About the family: 5.8S ribosomal RNA (5.8S rRNA) is a component of the large subunit of the eukaryotic ribosome.
Source: RNAcentral